Molecule: ribosomal RNA, 1395 nt
Filed under: uncultured bacterium
Lineage: Bacteria
Description: bacterial SSU rRNA
Rfam family: Bacterial small subunit ribosomal RNA
Source: RNAcentral
AGAGUUUGAUCCUGGCUCAGGAUGAACGCUGGCGGCGUGCUUAACACAUGCAAGUCGAACGGAGAUAUCAUUUUCGAAGCGAUUAGUUUACUAAGAGCGGAGAUGUUGCUAUCUUAGUGGCGGACGGGUGAGUAACGCGUGGGUAACCUGCCUUGCACUGGGGGAUAACACUUAGAAAUAGGUGCUAAUACCGCAUAACAGUAGGAGACGCAUGUCUUUUACUUGAAAACUCCGGUGGUGUAAGAUGGACCCGCGUCUGAUUAGCUUGUUGGCGGGGUAACGGCCCACCAAGGCGACGAUCAGUAGCCGGCCUGAGAGGGUGAACGGCCACAUUGGGACUGAGACACGGCCCAAACUCCUACGGGAGGCAGCAGUGGGGAAUAUUGGACAAUGGGGGGAACCCUGAUCCAGCGACGCCGCGUGAGUGAAGAAGUAUUUCGGUAUGUAAAGCUCUAUCAGCAGGGAAGAAAGAAAUGACGGUACCUGACUAAGAAGCCCCCGGCUAACUACAUGCCAGCAGCCGCGGUAAUACGUAGGGGGCAAGCGUUAUCCGGAUUUACUGGGUGUAAAGGGAGCGUAGAGGGCGAUGCAAGUCUGAAGUGAAAGAGCGGGGGCCCAACCCCCGGACUGCUUUGGAAACUGUAUGGCUGGAGUGCAGGAGAGGUAAGUGGAAUUCCUAGUGUAGCGGUGAAAUGCGUAGAUAUUAGGAGGAACACCAGUGGCGAAGGCGGCUUACUGGACUGUAACUGACGUUGAGGCUCGAAAGCGUGGGGAGCAAACAGGAUUAGAUACCCUGGUAGUCCACGCCGUAAACGAUGAUCACACAGGUGUCGGUGGGUAUGGACCCAUCGGUGCCGCAGCAAACGCAGUAAGUGUUCCCCUGGGGGAGUAGGUUCGCAAGAAUGAAACUCAAAGGAAUUGACGCGGACCCGCACAAGCGGUGGAGCAUGUGGUUUAAUUUGAAGCAACGCGGAGAACCUUACCAAGUCUUGACAUCCUGCUGACCGUCCCUUAGCCGGGGCUUUCCUUCGGGACAGCAGAGACAGGUGGUGCAUGGUUGUCGUCAGCUCGUGUCGUGAGAUGUUGGGUUAAGUCCCGCAACGAGCGCAACCCUUAUCCUCAGUAGCCAGCAUUACGGAUGGGAACUCUGGGGAGACUGCCGGAGACAAUCCGGAGGAAGGUGGGGAUGACGUCAAAUCAUCAUGCCCCUUAUGACUUGGGCUACACACGUGCUACAAUGGUGGUAACAAAGUGAAGCGACCCCGUGAGGGUGAGCCAACCACAGAAAAGCCAUCUCAGUUCGGAUUGUAGUCUGCAACCCGACUACAUGAAGCUGGAAUCGCUAGUAAUCGCAGAUCAGAAUGCUGCGGUGAAUAAAGGCCCGGGUCUUGUACA